UCUUUCCCAUUUGUGUAACGGAUUAAUGAGCUCAGAGGAAAUUUCCUAUCUGUAAAGCCUUGAUUGUGCCUUUGGGAGCUACUUUCUAUGGUGACCCUUGCCAAAUAAAGUAACUAUUUUGAGGAUCUUUUCAUAUGCCCUAUUUGUGUCCUGAAUGCAGGAAGAAUAGUGGAUGGAACAGUAAAAAGAGGAAUAAUUGCAAGUUGAAUAAAGACCAUCAGCAAAUGUGCUUAUAUCAUUGUUG
Long non-coding RNA from Lagopus muta (rock ptarmigan), 244 nucleotides. RefSeq lists it as uncharacterized. The record is from RefSeq and is a predicted model, not a curated record. NCBI's taxonomy places the organism in Eukaryota, Metazoa, Chordata, Aves, Galliformes, Phasianidae. The transcript is spliced from 3 exons.